GUGAGGAGGGCACUUUAGGUUAUAUAGUGUGGGUGAGGAGGGAACUUUAGGUUAUAUAGUGUGGGGGAGGAGGUUAGUAUAGGAAGCAUAGUGUGGGUGAGGAGGGUACUUUAGGUUACAUAGUGUGGGUGAGGAGGGCACUUUAGGUUAUAUAGUGUGGGGGAGGAGGUUAGUAUAGGAAGCAUAGUGUGGGUGAGGAGGUUAGUAUAGGUUAUAUAGUGUGGGUGAGGAGGGCACUUUAGGUUAUAUAGUGUGGGUGAGGAGGGUACUUUAGGUUAUAUAGUGUGGGUGAGGAGGUUAGUAUAGGUGGCAUAGUGUGGGUGAGGAGGUUAGUAUAGGAAGCAUAGUGUGGGUGAGGAGGUUAGUAUAGGAAGCAUAGUGUGGGUGAGGAGGGUACUUUAGGUUACAUAGUGUGGGUGAGGAGGGCACUUUAGGUUAUAUAGUGUGGGUGAGGAGGUUAGUAUAGGUAGCAUAGUGUGGGUGAGGAGGUUAGUAUAGGAAGCAUAGUGUGGGUGAGGAGGGUACUUUAGGUUACAUAGUGUGGGUGAGGAGGGUACUUUAGGUUAUAUAGUGUGGGUGAGGAGGUUAGUAUAGGUUAUAUAGUGUGGGUGAGGAGGGUACUUUAGGUUAUAUAGUGUGGGUGAGGAGGGUACUUUAGGUUAUAUAGUGUGGGUGAGGAGGUUAGUAUAGGUUACAUAGUGUGGGUGAGGAGGGCACUUUAGGUUAUAUAGUGUGGGGGAGGAGGUUAGUAUAGGAAGCAUAGUGUGGGUGAGGAGGUUAGUAUAGGAAGCAUAGUGUGGGUGAGGAGGGUACUUUAGGUUACAUAGUGUGGGUGAGGAGGGUACUUUAGGUUAUAUAGUGUGGGUGAGGAGGGUACUUUAGGUUAUAUAGUGUGGGUGAGGAGGUUAGUAUAGGAAGCAUAGUGUGGGUGAGGAGGUUAGUAUAGGUAGCAUAGUGUGGGUGAGGAGGUUAGUAUAGGUUAUAUAGUGUGGGUGAGGAGGGCACUUUAGGUUAUAUAGUGUGGG
Molecule: long non-coding RNA, 1025 nt
Organism: Oncorhynchus keta (chum salmon)
Lineage: Eukaryota; Metazoa; Chordata; Actinopteri; Salmoniformes; Salmonidae
Exons: 4
Source: RefSeq, a predicted model, not a curated record